GUUGGCGCUGAUGAAGACCCGGACGCUGCGACCGGCGGGUACCAGGUGAGAAGGAAGGGCGGUGAGAUUACCAGAGAACGCCGCCCGCCGGAGCGCGGAGUCCCGGGGACAGGGCAGCUUGGUGCCCGCACCGGCCGGCCACAUCGCCCUGUGGGAGGGAAGAUCAGCUGCCACCACCGUCUCUGCUUCUCGGGUCUUUGACCCUCCGCGGUCCCGCGAGGGCGAUGUCCGCCGGCGAAGCAGCUCAGAGUCGCUCGGAGCUCUGAGCGCAGCCGGCGAGCUUCGCAGCGCUCAGCAGCCGCUUUGGAGCAGCGGCCAUAGGGACCCUCGGGUCCCCAGUUGUUGUCGCCUCCUACACCUCUGAGGACUGCCUUGACUCCCGCCCGAGGCUCGGCGCCGCAGCGCAGGAGGUCAGCGUGGAGGAUGCUACGCGGGCGGUGCCAGGUUGCACCGAGAAGAGCCCGCUCCUCUCCUGGAGCCCGUAGCCAUGUCCCUACUGGUGUCCACCGCGGGAGGAGGGGGCAGCCGGGCGUCGGGGACCUGGCGGAGGACCAGAGCAGGUCAAAGUUUAGGAGACGGUGGCAGGAGUCGGUCAGGACUCUCAGAAACAACGCGGCUCACGGGGCGGCUGCGGUGUAGAUGCGCGGGCUGGGGGCAGCCCGGGGACCUCUUGGUUUCCUAGGAGGACUCGCACCAGAACCCCAGGCGGCUCCCUCAGUGAAGGACAGGAGAUCGAUCUGCCCGAGAUUCCUGCUAUCCUCCCUCGAACUCCCCUAAAGGUCAAACCAGCUCUGUGCAUUUGCGGGAAUCCAGUCGCGCGGGCGUCUGCAAGCCUUUGCCAAGUCCCCCAAAGUUCAAUGCUCCUCCACACCACACGCCAAGGGGCUGGAGCAUUAAAGCUCCAGGCAUUGAGAAAGGUUCUCCCUGCCUCUCGUGGCGUGGGAGGACACGUCUCGCCUCGGCGCUCUCUCCCCACGCUCGUGCAAUCGGGGGAUUUUUAUAGCUAAGCCACGAUGCUCACGUGGCCCUCCCCGCGUGGUCGCGGACCCUUUUGGGGAGCGAGUCUCUGCGGGCAGUUCUCCUAGACCUUUAAAGGACCAGGGAGCCUCCCUGCUCCCGCUGAGAAGCCUUUCCUGGCUGUUCGCCCUCCUGUGGGCGCGCAGGAACCAGGCGGCUUCCAGGGCAUUGGGAGCCCCACGCAGUAGUGGGUGUGAGCUCUGGCUCAAGGGAAGGAUGCAACUACAGAGAAAGACUCUCUGCCACGCCCCACUUCUGGCAAAGUGCAAGGGGCCUUUGUUUGGGGGCCUAGGUGGCAAAGUUGGCUCAAGGUUGUUGGUAAUCUGCACUCACUGAAGGGGCCUGAAUCACUUUCUUUGAGGGGGAUCAGACUGUGCAUCCUGGGGCCAGGGUCUGAACAUCUGCAGGAUCCCAAGUGGCAUGAGAUGCAGAGAAGUCCAAAUGUGUAAUUGCCGUCACCCUCUGAAACCCUACAAACUCCAGGAGAGGAGAUAAGAGUGAUUUUAUUGAAUGGGGAAGUAGGAAGAAGGGAGUAUUUGGAGCCUGCCUUGAAGCUGGACCUUCAGAUUUCUCAUUCUGAGGUUGGGUCAGGAUCAUAUUUUAGAGAGCAAACACAGCCCAUCCCACCCCACCCUCGAGACUGGGGAGAGGAUGGGUGGGUACAAAGCUUAGUUGGUUGCUCGUAUUUCUAAUUACCAGUUCUUAGAAACUGAGGUAGUAGGAUUUUUGCUAGUGCCAGGACAGGCCAGCCUGGACUAUAUACAGUGUGAGACCCUGUCUCAAACAAAAUGAUAGCUAGUCGCUUCAUGGCAUGUUUAUCUUCUCACCUGAAGACUCCUAUCCUGGGCAUCUUCUGGCAUCCCCAUCGUCUGCACUUCCUCUGGGUCCUGAGGGUGGCAGUGAAGUCCUACAUAGUGCUGUUUACAGUCUUAGAGCACCCCACACCCAACACUCAUUCUGGGCUAACCUCUUUGGAAGAACUGGGUCUCUAGGUUUUUAAGGCUCCAACUACUCCUGAGAGUCUGAAGCAGACAGCACUUGUUACUGUGUGAUGAUUUCACAGAACCCAUGAAGAAUUCCUGUGGAUAACCUAGCCAGCUAGUCAAUUAAUUCAUUCUAGCGAAUCAGCUUUUCAAAAUCACUAUUUCCAAGUAGGAAGGCAAUCGGGAGCAGAAUCCAGAGACUCUCGCCCUCCAUGGCCCCUGGUUAUGUACUGAAAAUUCUGUAACAGGUAAUGAAUGCAGAGUGCUGGCCACUGCUCCAGCCUUUACGAAGAUAUAGUAUCCAUCCCAGGGAAAGGGUCAGGACUACAUUAUGCCUCACCUCCCAGCAGUUAAAACAAUAUGGAUAAAAUGUUUACAGAGUGUCACCUGCCUGAAUCCUCCUCCCCUCUCUUAUUUAUAUUUCUGUUUUUAGACUCAAGAUUAGUGUUUGUUUCCUUCAGAUCUUGCUCCAGUGUUGAAUUUUCUUUGAAUGACUUUGGGGUUUUUGGCAGCCUUUGUAACCUAAUUAACUUCUAGACAGGCUGAAGUUUAGCAUCUGCCUGUGUCACUGCCGACCAAGCCUGCAGAAGAGAGAUUUGUCACUGUUCAUAGCAUAGUCACUGCACCACCACCUUUGCUGGAGGUAAAGCUAAGCAUCUUUUGAGUAGUGGGGAGGCAUCUGCUUAAAGAUACAGAAUUGCCUACAUCACUCCCACCCAGCCUCCUCCCUUACACUCUCCUAAUCUAUCUCUUUUUAACAGUCUGAAAACAAAGAUUGAUUUCUCAGCAUGCAGAUAGCACAAAGGAGAGGCCACCCAUAAUGGUAAGAUUUAAGUGUCAAUUCCUAUGGUUUUUCAGCUUGAUGAAUUAGAUUAUUGGUUGCUCAUUAGAUAGAUAGAAAGUCCAGAUUUUGGAGGCUACUUAAUUUUUAUCUUUGUUUCAAAAUUUUCAGUAUUUACUGAAGUUUUAUUUACUAAUUAAUAUGGGGUCCUUUGGGAGAACGACUAGAGCUUUUCAUUGCCAAGCCACUUCUCCAGCCCUAUUUGUUGUCCUUUCAGAAAUACUGAUAAAAAGAAUUUUAUUUUAAAUGUUGUAAAUACUUGCUUAGGUUGUAAAUAGGUUGGAAAUUAAAAGUGUACCAUCUUCUUUGUCUAUUAUAAACAAUGACAACAAAAAAGAAGUUUUAUUGCAUUUUUGCAUAUAGGAGAGCAAGGUUAGAAAAAUUCCACCAGAAAUUACUAAUACAAGGUCAUAAAGCUAAUCUACAGUAGAGCCACGAUCCAGGUAUUAAUGCUCCUGUCAAAGAUUUUUUGCAACAUAAUAAAUCCAUGUCUGGUCUUGGUUGAGAUUUUUUUUUUAACAACCAAGAUUAUGGCUGCUUCCAAGAAAGAGCACAUAGGUCUAUACUCCUUCCUCUGUUUUUUAUGUUUCUAUUUUUUUCAUUACAAUCCCAUAGGGAAAUCAAUACCAUUCCAGAAACAGGCAGGAGAUUUUAAAGCACCUAGAAAUGAGAAGAGAAAGGAGUCCUGGAACAUGGGUCCAAGACCAUGCUGCUAAAAACCAUUCCCUUCUCUUGUCUCACCCACCCUAGCUAGCAGGCUAGAAGUCCUUAUAAAAUAGUGGUGCCAGCUCUUUCUAAUACUGACCUGUGGGAAGGUGAAAUCACUGAUAGGCUCCUUCUAUUCACUGGGCUGGAAAGAGUCAUUUGCUUAUAGAUUCUAUCCUUCUUGAUAGAGAAGUUAAUGACCUUGAAAUAAAUCGUAAUUCCAUUAAACCAUUAUCUUGUGAUAUUGCUAUACUGAGCACUCCCUGUAUGAUACACACUGUUUUAAGCUUUAAUUAGUAUUUUACUUAAUUAUAUUGCAUUAAGGGUCUUGGUCUAGCAAGUCCUAUCUCCAGUUUAGCAUCCUGUCUUAGACACUAUAGUCCCUGUAUACCCUUUUAAAAAUCAUUACUUUUUAUUUUAAUACAUUUAAAAUUAAAAUAGAAUUACAUUGCUUUCCUUCUCCCUGUCUUCCCUUCAGCUUCUUUCAAGUGCCCUGUCAACUUCUUCCAUGCCCUCCCUCUCAAACUGAUAGCCUCUUUCUCACUCUUGUUACAUAUAAAUGUAUGUUUAAUUAUACAUAAAUAUUUAAAUACAUCGCACUAAGUUCAUUUUUCUUUUUUUUAAAAUUAUUUAUUUAUUAUUAUAUCUAAGUACACUGUAGCUGUCUUCAAACACACCAGAAGAGGGUGUCUGUCAGAUCUCAUUAUGGAUGGUUGUGAGUCAUCAUGUGGUUGCUGGGAUUUGAACUCAGGACCUUCAGAAGAGCAGUCAGUGCUCUUAACCGCUGAGCCAUCUCUCCAGCCCCCAAGUUCAUUUUUCUUAUCUUUGUGUAUGUGGUUUCAGGGCUGACCACUUUGUAUUGGCAUCAUCCCUGGGGUAGGCUCAGCAGACAUUCCUUGUCUGUCAUUGUUUGUAUAGGUGGGACGCCAAUGGACACAAUGGAGUACUACUCAGCUAUUAAAAAGAAUGAAUUUAUGAAAUUCCUAGCCAAAUGGAUGGACCUGGAGGGCAUCAUCCUGAGUGAGGUAACACAUUCACAAAGGAACUCACACAAUAUGUACUCACUGAUAAGUGGAUAUUAGCCCAAAACUUAGGAUACCCAAGAUAUAAGAUACAAUUUGCUAAACACAUGAAACUCAAGAAGAAUGAAGACUGAAGUGUGGACACUAUGCCCCUCCUUAGAAGUGGGAACAAAACACUCAUGGAAGGAGUUACAGAGACAAAGUUUGGAGCUGAGACGAAAGGAUGGACCAUGUAGAGGCUGCCAUAUCCAGGGAUCCACCCCAUAAUCAGCUUCCAAACGCUGACACCAUUGCAUACACUAGCAAGAUUUUAUCAAAAGGACCCAGAUGUAGCUGUCUCUUGUGAGACUAUGCUGGGGCCUAGCAAACACAGAAGUGGAUGCUCACAGUCAGCUAUUGGAUGGAUCACAGGGCUCCCAAUGGAGGAGCUAGAGAAAGUACCCAAGGAGCUAAAGGGAUCUGCAACCCUGUAGGUGGAACAACAUUAUGAACUAACCAGUACCCCGGAGCUCUUGACUCUAGCUGCAUAUGUUUCAAAAGAUGGCCUAGUCGGCCAUCACUGGAAAGAGAGGCCCAUUGGACUUGCAAACUGUAUAUGCCCCAGUACAGGGAAAUGCCAGGGCCAAAAAAAAAAAAAAAAAAAAAUGGGAAUGAGUGGGUAGGGAAGUGGGGGGGGGGGGGAGGGUAUGGGGAACUUUUGGGAUAGCAUUGGAAAUGUAAUUGAGGAAAAUAUGUAAUAAAAAAAUAAAUAAAAAAGAAAUUUCCCACG
Molecule: long non-coding RNA, 5337 nt
Organism: Mus musculus (house mouse)
Lineage: Eukaryota; Metazoa; Chordata; Mammalia; Rodentia; Muridae
Gene: Nwd2os
Product: NACHT and WD repeat domain containing 2, opposite strand
Exons: 1
Source: RefSeq, marked validated